RNAcentral lists this ribosomal RNA (511 nucleotides) under uncultured bacterium. RNAcentral's name for it is "partial 16S ribosomal RNA". It matches the Rfam family "Bacterial small subunit ribosomal RNA", at positions 28 to 506 of the family's 1533-position model. The record is from RNAcentral.
GAUGAACGCUGGCGGCGUGCCUAAUACAUGCAAGUCGAACGAAACUUCUUUAUCACCGAGUGCUUGCACUCACCGAUAAAGAGUUGAGUGGCGAACGGGUGAGUAACACGUGGGCAACCUGCCCAAAAGAGGGGGAUAACACUUGGAAACAGGUGCUAAUACCGCAUAACCAUAGUUACCGCAUGGUAACUAUGUAAAAGGUGGCUAUACUACCGCUUUUGGAUGGGCCCGCGGCGCAUUAGCUAGUUGGUAGGGUAAAGGCUUACCAAGGCAAUGAUGCGUAGCCGAAUUGAGAGGUUGACCGGCCAAAUGGGGACUGAGACACGGCCCAAACUCCUACGGGGGGCAGCAGUAGGGAAUCUUCCCAAAGGGGCGAAAGCCUGAUGGAGCAACCCCGGGUGGGUGAAGAAGGUCUUCGGAUCGUAAAACCCUGUUGUUAGGGAAAAAAGUGCGUGAGAGUAACUGUUCACGUUUCGACGGUAUCUAACCAAAAAGCCACGGCUAACUACGU